GUCUAUGGUCAUGCCACCCUGAACAAGCCCAAUCCUGUUUGAUCUCGGAAGCCAAGCAGGUUUGGGCCUUGUUAGUACUUGGACGGGAGACCACCUAGGAAGAUCAGGUGCUGUAGGAG
RNAcentral lists this ribosomal RNA (119 nucleotides) under Pteropus alecto (black flying fox). The record is from RNAcentral. Lineage: Eukaryota; Metazoa; Chordata; Mammalia; Chiroptera; Pteropodidae.